Anolis carolinensis (green anole) is the source of this 6012-nucleotide long non-coding RNA. RefSeq lists it as uncharacterized. NCBI's taxonomy places the organism in Eukaryota, Metazoa, Chordata, Lepidosauria, Squamata, Anolidae. The transcript is spliced from 2 exons. The record is from RefSeq and is a predicted model, not a curated record.
CUUAUUUUUUCAAAAAAUCCUUUUUUGUUGGGCUUCCCUUUUUCAUUUAUCUCACUGGCUCUUUCUGUAUAACCUGCCUUUGCCUUGGUCCUUUGGGCUACAAUAAGGAUAGUGUUAGAAUUUUUUUAUAUUUAGUAUAUUUUUGAAAGCAAAGACAUUUUGGGGCUUUGUAUCAUUGUAAUCCUCAACCCAUGAGCCCUCCCAUUGCCACCAAUGGGACAUAAAUUUUCAUUUUUUUCAAAAGUGAGAUGAAAAUUCUAUUUGUAUAAGCGCCCCAUUUUCAGAAAUGGAAACAAAUAUGAAAAUGAGACAAAAUAAAUGAAACUUCACAAAACGAACAGCAAUUCCAUACAAAUACACAACACUAAUGGGAAUGCACUGAAGGGGGCAACUAUGAGACCAUCAGAACCAGUGCUUGACAAAGUUAUCACAGUUUUUGUUUUGUUUUGCACUUCAUCUCUUGACUGGCAAUUUCUUGGCCUUAGAAUAUAACAAGUAACUUCUCCAGGUGUGAAUAAGAAAAAUAUUCUCCUGAAAGAAAAAUGUGGACCGAGUAACAGAACAGUUGGAAAAAUUAGAGAAUUUGACUUGAAGGCAGCUGAUAAAUCAGUGUCUUGGUUUCUUACCUGUACAAGGGAUAUAUCUGACUUAAUUAUAAGGAUAAGUAAGAUGAAGCUAUGUUGAUAAUUUUGCAAUUAUUAUUAGAAAUAAAAAACUGUGUAAAUCUGUGCCAUCUUAUUGCUUUCAGACAAGGUCUAUUUCUGUGAAAAAAAUGAUUGCUGAUGAACAAAACAAUAGUCUUAGAAAUUAUGAAGACUUGGUUUAUGAAAUUUAUCUCAAUAUAUAUCCCUUUUGGCUCUUUCCAUAAUCAUUUUCUCACCAAAACUACAAUGCAGUGAAAAUAUCUGUUUUUGUUACAGCUUAUCAAUGACUUUUAAAAAAUGUAUUAUUUGCCUAUUGUGAUGGAUUCUGGCAGUUUGACCUGAAUAUAUUAAAAUAUUGUAAUGUUUUGUAACGUAUCCCAAGAUUUAAAAAAGAUAAAUAUUUCUUAAAAAAUCAGGACAUAUCUUAUUAGCUUUCCCUUUCAUGUCUCCGAUAAAGGUUUGUUUGACAGAGCGUAAGAUAGUGGUGAAAGCCUAAGGUAAAGGUUAAACUCUGUUUUAUUAUGUUUACAGGAUUUAAAGGGUAAAUCAGGAAGUGCUUAUUUAACGUCCAAGUGAAAGUGGUGGAUUAGCAACCAAACCGGGAUUUGAAAGCAGCCUUAAUCCUUAAAAAUCUUUGCAGGUGAAAGGUCACUCUUUUAACACCACAUCGAGUAAAGAAUGAAGCAGAUAAGAAGCCUCUGUUUCCUCCUUGCCCAGCUAAUCCACUGAGGAAAUGAGCAGCACUGUUUCUCAGCUACAUAAAUGACGGUUGAAACUGGGGAAACACUUGGAGAAUCACCAGGAAGUAAUUAAAGAAGGUUUAUUCUCUCUACUGAUAAUACCAAAAAGGGGUGUGUGUUUCUUAGAGACUUUUUUAAAAGUACUAUCCACAGUGAAUAAAAUAAAAUAUUCAUUUUCAUUCAUCUUGUCAUGUGUUAGGAUUAAAGGUCAAUACACAUGUUUAUUUUUGAGGCAGGAAUGUCUUCAGCUGGUGCCGUUGGCAUCCAGUUUCCCCCCAGAGACAAAGUAUGGGGGUGAAAUAGUCCUAAGGAAAAGGUCUACAUGGGGGGGGGGGGGGGUCAACAUUAAGACAUUUUUGAAAAUGUUGUGCUCAGAGAGGGUGACCAUAGAAGAUAUUGACAUAAUUCGGUUUCCAGUGGUUGGUUUUGCCCCUUGAUCCAGAAAUAAAACAAGGCUUAGCUCUCAAAGGCAUUGAUAGCAGUCUGGCUCCCACGGGCAAAAAAGGUGGUUGUAACUAACCUAUUGAGAAUCAGCUUUAAAAGGUUUUGUCACCAGAGAGUAGGCUUUACAGUCUUCUAUAAUACCUCAACUGCACAUUACAGUGAAUCAUAAAUCUUUCAGUGGCAGAAGUCUGUGUAUGUAGAGGGGGCAAAAUAUUGGGGAGAGCGCCAUUCCUUUUGUAUGUCUCUGUGUGCAUAGUCUUAGCAGCUACUAGAAGCUUACUUCUACUCCCUCCUUCCCAGAAUGAAGAGUUCCAGCUGCUCAUGGCCAGGGAACCACAGAGGUUCGAUUGUGUUAUUCAAAGCAGCCCCUGGUGGCGCAGCAGAUUAAACCACUGAGCUGCUGAACUUGCUGACUGAAAGGUCAGUGGUUCGAAUUCGGAGAGCGGCAUGAGGUCCCACUAUUAGCCCCAGCUUCUGCCAACCUAGCAGUUCAAAAACGUGCAAAUGUGAGUAGAUCGAUAGGUACUGCUUCAGCGGGAAGGUAACGGCGCUCCAUGCAGUCAUGCCGACCACAUAACCUUGGAGGUGUCUAUGGAGAACGCUGGCUCUUCAGCUUAGAAAUGGAGAUGAGCACCAACCCCCAGAGUCGGACACGACUGGACUUAAUGUCAGGGGAAAACCUUUACCUUCAUUAUUCAAAAAUGAGUGAAGUGUUUUGUUGCCCCUUGCUGCUCCUACCCCAUGCUCCUCUGGGACCUUCAUAUUCCUGCAUCCAUUCUGUGGAAAGCAGUGAUAUGAAGGAACUAAAGGAACCAAAUGAUGAGUGUCUAGAUCCAGGGAAGUCAUGUCACCCCUCUAUUCUGCCUUGGCCAGACCACACCUGGAAAACUGUGUCCAAUUCUGGGCACCACAAUUGAAGGGAGAUGUUGACAAACUGGAAAGCGUCCAGAGGAGGGCGACUAAAAUGAUCAAGGGUCUGGAGAACGAGCCCUAUGAGGAGCGGAUUAAAGAGCUGGGCAUGUUUAGCCUGCAGAAGAGAAGGCUGAGAGGAGACAUGAUAUAGCCAUGUCUCACUUUAGGGAGAUAAAACAAGGUAAUAAUAAUAAUAAUAAUAAUAAUAAUAAUAAUAAUAAUAAUAAUAAUAAUAAUAAUAAUAUCAUCAUCAUCAUCACCAUCAUCAUCAUCAGGAAGUGCUUUUUUUUGUCCAGUUAUUAUUAGAAGCACAGGUACAACAAUAUACUGAAACCAUAGCAGUGCAGUAGGCAUCAGGGCUGACCUUACUCUAAGGUGACAGUUGGUAAAAGGUGGACACAGACAUCAUUAUUCCCUGACCAUUCCUUCUAAAUUGCAUGGCCUUUUCACUCUGAUGUAGGACAGAACUGCAUGUAGCAAUCCACCUGUCCUACACCUUAAUUUUUUUAUAUUGAAAGCAGGGUGUAAUCCUAUAAUCCAGUCACUUGGAACAGGAUAUUCUAAUGUAUGUUACAUAACAGCAUUAAAAUAUUUGCCUUAAUGAAGGUCAAAAAUCUCAUUCAUUCAUGGUGUGAACUUCAGAUAUAAGGAAACAGCUGCAAUAAUUCUGAAAAAAUCUAUUUCUCAGCCAAACAUAUUUUGGAGAAGCAACAAAACCACUUUACUCCUGCUCACAGUUCCUUACCAUUCCAGAGUAGUUUCAAAAGGGAGCAAGAGCAGUGAAUGAAAAUAUAACUCCCCAAUCACCAUGGCUUUCCCUGGAAGGGAAUAAAAGUAUUUGCCAGAAAUAUAAUUGUUAUUAAUGCAUAGGUUGUAAUUCCUCCUAGGAAGCAUAGGAUUGUAACCAUACACAAUAACUUAUAUAUUAAAUGUUAAAACCUGCUGUUUUGUAAAUAUUAUCACCCCCUGAGUAGACAACCCUUAACUUUUCCUGAACAAUCAAUAUAGAACAAGAAAGCUAUUCCAUAUUUUAGCUACCAGAGAGACGUCUCACACAUAAUGGAAUAUAACAUUCUUUUCAAUAUUUAUACCAAGCCAACCAUUAUUAAAUCACAGGUAAAAAAAAAAAACAACGGUAAAAUUCUGCUGACGUUUCGUCAUAAAAUGGCAUAGGCAUUCGUCUUAUAAAAUUGUCUCAUGCAGACUGAUAAACUGUGCUCCUUUUGGACAUAUAUGGAUCUGAUGUGCUUUUUUUCCUUGCCUCAGGUGGUUAUGACACAUUCAGCUGUUAACUUAUGCAGUUCAUUUUCUUCCCAUACAGAACCUGUGGUUAAGCAUUAUGUUUCAUAUGUGGGAUGAUAUUACUUUUUUUGCUAUAAAAAUAAUCCCACAGAGUGCUUUGCAUGCAAUAUGAAGAUUAUUUGAGUUGCAUGCUUUUGCAUCACACUUGUAAUUUUUCCCAGCAGUUGUACUUAUCUAAGUUUUUCAUUUUGAUGCAAGAUUGUGUUUAAGCACUUUUUUUUAAGAAAUAAAAGAAUUAUUUUGAACAAGAUGCACCUAUCUCAUACACAGAUAUUGCAUACAGUUGAUCCAGGGGCUUCUGGAACUUGUAGUUCCAAAAGUGCUGGUGCCUCUCCAAACUACAGCUUCUAGGAUCCCAUAGCCUUGAGCCAUGGCAGUUCAAGGGGUGACAAACCACAUUAAUUAUUCAGAGUGGAAACACCCCUUGUCAUCUAUACAGCAACCCAUUAAACAUAAGAAUUGGUAUCCAAUGAAAGUGAGGGAGUGAAAAGCUGUAUGACUAAAUGGGCAAUGAAUAUCAGUAGAUCCAUAGGCUGAAGCGAAUGGGAGUUCAUGUGGAAUAAAAAAUUGAAGUAUACAUAUGCAACGGAAUUAAAAGAAAAUUGUUAUAAAAUGUUCCACCGCUGGUUAAUGAUUCCACAAAAAUUAGGAAUUAUGUAUAAGAACACAAAUAAUAAAUGUUGGAAAUGUGAGGGCUCUUUUUACCACAUGUGGUGGACCUGUGGAAAAGCAAUGGAUAUUGGAGAAUGAUACAUGAAAUAUAUAUAAAAAAAUCUUUAAAAUAAAAAUUCAAAUGAAGCCGAAUAUUUUCUACUAGGAAUUACAGAUGCAGUAAUUGACCUAGACAGCAACAAAGAUAUACUAUUCAUGUAUUUGACAACUGCAGCAAGGAUAACUUAUACUAGAUACUCGGAAACAGAAGAAUUUCCAACCAAAGAUUAAUGGUUAGACAAAAUGCGAGAAAUAAUGGACAUGAAUAGAUUAACCUUCUUAAUGAAAAGACACACAGGAAGACCAAUCAAACCAACUGACUGGAGGCUUUUUGAAAAGUACAUGAACGUGUAUAGAAAACUAUUAAAUAGAGACGAAUAUAUGAAGAAAGGAAGAACUUUAAAUUUAGGAGGACGAAAAAGGGACAAACGGUUCUGGUCCAACUUACCUGUCCGAACAUUUCUCCUCCUAUGAGCCUAUUAGAACUUUCGGCCCCAUCUGCCACACAAACACGACUGGUGGGGACGGGAGAACAGGGCCUUCUCAGGGCUCCUCGGCUGUGGAACUCCCUCCCCAGUGACAUCCGGUAGGCUCCAUCGCUUCUGGGUUUUAGAAAGAAACUAAAUACCUGGCUAUGUGCACGUGCGUUCAGUGAAUAAGCUUUUACGGCUUCGACACGGUCUGGAUCAAGGUUUUUGGACGAAUUGAUGUAUGCAUUUUAUAUGUUUUAAGUUUGUAUACUGUCUCAUGGAGCCUCCGGUGGCUCAGUGUGUUAAAGCGCUGAGCUGCUGAGCUUGCAGACCGAAAGGUCCCAGGUUCAAACCCGGGGAGCGGAGUGAGCACCUGCUGUUAGCUCCAGCUUCUGCCAACCUAGCAGUUUGAAAACAUGCAAAUGUGAGUAGAUCAAUAGGUACCGCUCCAGCGGGAAGGUAACGGCGUUCCAUGCAGUCAUGCUGGCCACAUGACCUUGGAGGUGUCUAUGGACAACGCCGGCUCUUUGACUUAGAAAUGGAGAUGAGCACCUACCCCCAGAGUCGGACACAACUGGACUUAACGUCAGGGGAAACCUUUACCUUUACCUUACCUUAUGCUGUCUCAUGUGUUUUAAUGCCUAAUGUAAAUUGUUUUUUAACCGCUUUAUGUUUUAUUGGAGUGCAUUGUUCUUUUAUUGGCAUUGCCAGAUCUGUAAGCCACCUUGAGUCCCUUCGGGUGAGAAAGGCGGUAUAGAAAUGACGAAAAUAAAUAAAUACAUAAGAUAA